UAACAGGUAACUGGAAACUAGGAUUCGAUUCCGUAGAGGGAGCCUGAGAAAUGGCUACCACAUCGAAGGACGGCAGCAGGCAUUAAAAUUACCCACCCCCGGCACGGGGAGGUACUGAUUAAAAAUACGAAUACGGGACUCAAUUGAUGCUCCGUAAUUCGAAUGAAUCCAAUUUAAAUCCUUUAACAAGGAAUAAUUGGAGGGAAAGUCUGGUGUCGCUGCCAAUA
RNAcentral lists this non-coding RNA (227 nucleotides) under Trichobilharzia regenti. Its description in RNAcentral is "Eukaryotic small subunit ribosomal RNA". It matches the Rfam family "Eukaryotic small subunit ribosomal RNA", at positions 353 to 584 of the family's 1831-position model. The record is from Rfam by way of RNAcentral. Lineage: Eukaryota; Metazoa; Platyhelminthes; Trematoda; Strigeidida; Schistosomatidae.